UACAGGGGGGGCAAGCGUUGUUCGGAAUUACUGGGCGUAAAGGGUUCGUAGGUGGCUUACUAAGUCAGACGUGAAAUCCCUCAGCUUAACUGGGGAACUGCGUCUGAUACUGGAAAGCUUGAGUGCAGGAGAGGAACGCGGAAUUCCAGGUGUAGCGGUGAAAUGCGUAGAUAUCUGGAGGAACACCGGUGGCGAAGGCGGCGUUCUGGACUGUAACUGACACUGAUGAACGAAAGCCAGGGGAGCAAACGGGG
RNAcentral lists this ribosomal RNA (254 nucleotides) under uncultured bacterium. RNAcentral's name for it is "partial 16S ribosomal RNA". It matches the Rfam family "Bacterial small subunit ribosomal RNA", at positions 524 to 777 of the family's 1533-position model. The record is from RNAcentral.